Molecule: long non-coding RNA, 205 nt
Filed under: Lathyrus oleraceus (garden pea)
Lineage: Eukaryota; Viridiplantae; Streptophyta; Magnoliopsida; Fabales; Fabaceae
Description: Pisum sativum (pea) long non-coding RNA (PSAT_LNC015941)
Source: RNAcentral
UCGCCUUUGAAUUUUUAUUUUAUUUUAUAAUCAACAAUAUAAUUUAAAGGGGUUUAAGGGAAAUCUCAACACAAAAGGUUACAAACAAAGAAAAACAUCACUAAGAUGCCAAACCACCCUAUACAACAUCAACCCCAUGCUUCUAACCCAAAAAAAUCAAUUGGACUUUGCAUCUUUAGUAACUAUAUUUCCAAACGAUAAAAUG